Molecule: long non-coding RNA, 471 nt
Organism: Aphidius gifuensis
Lineage: Eukaryota; Metazoa; Arthropoda; Insecta; Hymenoptera; Braconidae
Exons: 3
Source: RefSeq, a predicted model, not a curated record
UUCAGAGAUGGCGGAUUAUAGAUAAAAACUAGUCAAGAGAGAGAGAAAAAAAAGGGUGUCAUUUGAUUGCCUCGGUGUGUGUGACAAAACGCAACAAACCAAAGAUUUCAUUAGUUGAAUAAACUUGAGUAUUCAUAAUGGAGCGGCUUUAUAAUAUGCAGCUAAAUGCACUUGUGUUUGUUGGCUCCAAGAUGGAAAAAAGCCGGAUCUUACGCACAUUAGAAAAAUCAAGACUUGGUUUAAAUGGCUCAUUAGCGUGUAUUGCAACAGUAUAUUCUUUUGGUGGCAUAUACGCAUUUACACAAAUGUAUGAAGAAAUUAAAAAAAAGAAAAAUGACUCAAAUAAAAAUAUAUCUACAAUUUAAUUUGAUUAAAUUAAAAUGCAUAUUAAUGCAAAUAUAAUUUAUGCAAAAUAUUGUUAUUAAUAAAUUAUUAUUAUUAUUAUUAAAUAAAGCUGAUUAUAAUUAUAAA